Molecule: long non-coding RNA, 1172 nt
Organism: Brassica oleracea var. oleracea
Lineage: Eukaryota; Viridiplantae; Streptophyta; Magnoliopsida; Brassicales; Brassicaceae
Exons: 4
Source: RefSeq, a predicted model, not a curated record
AGCCAAAAAAAAUACUUUUCUUUCUUCUCCCCUCCAAACCGAAUGUAUCGCUCAAACCCAUAUCGAAAGUUGAUCUCUUUCUGGAAAAAAAAAAAAAGACGAAACCCAGAUAAAAUUAUGUUCCUCUGUUAAUCUCGCUUCGGUCUCGAAUAGGUUAUGGGAGAUAAAGUCGACGACUUUAGGGUUUGCGUCGCUGGAAUCCAAAGAGUGGGUUGAAUCAACGUUAACGAGAACAUCGAAUUCGGAGAAGAGUCAGAUAAAGAUCUGUCCAGAUUCGAUUGGCUUCCUCAGAUUCUCAUUUUCGAUCUCUAAUCUCGAUUGAAGUUUCACCACCACACUCCUUUUGACAUUGUAGCUCGUUACCACCAUCACCAUCUCUCGGUGCUUGCUCAGUUCGUCGCGAAUCUUGCCAGUAGUUAACCAACGAAGAAUCACUCUCCACCAAUUCGUCUCUCGUCAAUCACAGCGAAGAAGAAGAAAGGACCCUAAAUCGAAUUUAGGAACUCCAUCAAUGGCGUUGAUGCUGGCCCGCAGGUGACUAAAUACUCUUUGUUCUCACCAUCGCGUAUGAAUCUCGUUUGCUCUUGUGCUUUUGUUUUGGGAAUCAAGGAUCACUCUCUGUCUCUUCGGGAUUGUGUCUGCAAUUGAAACUGUCCAUUUGAUGCUCAUUUGACAAGGCUCUAGAGACUGUAGAUGAAGCUCUUGUGACCUUUUGUGGUGUAUUCGAUGGUUGGUCCUUUCGGUCAUCUUGUUGCUUGAGUGAUAGAUACAUUGCCUGUGAAGUUGCAGUCUUUCUUUCAUGUCUGAGAUACAUUGAAAGUUCAACUAUGAGCUGUGUAGAGUUAGCAAAGACCAGAGGAAGAGAGCUUCAGGAGAUCUUUCUGUGGUGGGGACAACAGACUCAGAGUGGCUCUUCUUCUGUCCAUUGGACCGGAAGUAUCCGAGUGGAAAUAGGAUGAAUGGAGCCACUGUUGCUGGCUACUGGAAGGUCGCUGAAAAGACCGUAAGGUUAAGUCAGGGAGCACUAAGAUCAUAGGUGUUAUUGGUUACUUUAUUCUUUAACUGCAGUUUGGUGAGUUAGUUACUUGCAUCGGAAGAGCUUUGUUUCUAUUAGUAGACAGCACCUCCAUCUUAGUCAACUGUCUUUUGUUUUGAGUUGAUAUUUUCUUGUA